AUUGAACGCUGGCGGCAUGCCUUACACAUGCAAGUCGAACGGUAACAGGUCUUCGGAUGCUGACGAGUGGCGAACGGGUGAGUAAUACAUCGGAACGUGCCUAGUAGUAGGGGAUAACUACUCGAAAGAGUGGCUAAUACCGCAUGAGAUCUACGGAUGAAAGCAGGGGAUCGCAAGACCUUGUGCUACUAGAGCGGCCGAUGGCAGAUUAGGUAGUUGGUGGGAUAAAAGCUUACCAAGCCGACGAUCUGUAGCUGGUCUGAGAGGACGAUCAGCCACACUGGGACUGAGACACGGCCCAGACUCCUACGGGAGGCAGCAGUGGGGAAUUUUGGACAAUGGGCGCAAGCCUGAUCCAGCAAUGCCGCGUGCAGGAUGAAGGCCUUCGGGUUGUAAACUGCUUUUGUACGGAACGAAAAGCCCCGGGUUAAUACCCUGGGCUAAUGACGGUACCGUAAGAAUAAGCACCGGCUAACUACGUGCCAGCCGCCGCAGUAA
Molecule: ribosomal RNA, 498 nt
Filed under: uncultured bacterium
Lineage: Bacteria
Description: partial 16S ribosomal RNA
Rfam family: Bacterial small subunit ribosomal RNA
Source: RNAcentral